This 335-nucleotide ribosomal RNA is filed under the name Synalpheus iocasta. Its description in RNAcentral is "partial small subunit ribosomal RNA". Lineage: Eukaryota; Metazoa; Arthropoda; Malacostraca; Decapoda; Alpheidae. The record is from RNAcentral.
UAGUAUAUAGAUAUGGGCUUGAAAUCCAAAGGAUUUGGCGGCAUUUAAUUCUGGUUAGAGGAACUUGUGCUGUAAUCCAUAAACCGCGAAUAUCUAACUUUACUUUGUAUUUCAGUUUGUAUAUCGCCAUUAUUAGAUGAUCUUCAUAUAUAUUAUUAAAGUAUAAUAUUUCUCUUACAUUAGGUAAAGGUGCAGCUAAUAGUAAAGGUAGACCAUGAGUUACAUUAUUUUAAAAAUAUAUGGAUAAAUACUUGAAAUACUUGAUUGAAGGUGGAUUUGAUUGUAAAAUUUGUUUAGUAAACAUUUUUGAAAAAGCUCUUAAAUGCGUACACAUC